Molecule: ribosomal RNA, 253 nt
Filed under: uncultured bacterium
Lineage: Bacteria
Description: partial 16S ribosomal RNA
Rfam family: Bacterial small subunit ribosomal RNA
Source: RNAcentral
UACGUAGGGUGCGAGCGUUGUCCGGAAUUAUUGGGCGUAAAGAGCUCGUAGGCGGUCUGUCGCGUCUGCUGUGAAAACUCGGGGCUUAACCCCGGGCCUGCAGUGGGUACGGGCAGACUAGAGUGCGGUAGGGGAGACUGGAAUUCCUGGUGUAGCGGUGAAAUGCGCAGAUAUCAGGAGGAACACCGGUGGCGAAGGCGGGUCUCUGGACCGAUACUGACGCUGAGGAGCGAAAGCGUGGGGAGCGAACAGG